Molecule: ribosomal RNA, 1372 nt
Filed under: uncultured bacterium
Lineage: Bacteria
Description: 16S ribosomal RNA
Rfam family: Bacterial small subunit ribosomal RNA
Source: RNAcentral
AGAGUUUGAUCCUGGCUCAGGACGAACGCUGGCGGCGUGCUUAAUACAUGCAAGUCGAACGGGGUAUAGCAAUAUACCCAGUGGCGAACGGGUGAGUAACACGUGAGCAACCUGCCCUAUACAGGGGGACAACAGCUGGAAACGGCUGCUAAUACCGCAUAAGACCACAGUACCGCAUGGUACAGUGGCAAAAGGCUACGGUCAGUAAAGGAUGGGCUCGCGCACUAUUAGCUAGUUGGUGAGAUAAUAGCCCACCAAGGCGACGAUAGUUAGCCGACCUGAGAGGGUGAUCGGCCACAUUGGGACUGAGACACGGCCCAGACUCCUACGGGAGGCAGCAGUAGGGAAUAUUGGUCAAUGGAGGAAACUCUGAACCAGCAACGCCGCGUGAAGGACGAAGGUUUUCGGAUUGUAAACUUCUGUUAUGAGAGAAAAAUAAAUGAUGGUAUCUCAUGAGUAAGCCCCGGCUAACUAUGUGCCAGCAGCCGCGGUAAGACAUAGGGGGCAAGCGUUGUCCGGAAUAACUGGGCGUAAAGAGAGCGUAGGCGGUUUUGUAAGUCGAUGGUGAAAUCCUGGGGCUCAACUCCAGAAUUGCCAUCGAAACUACAAAACUAGAGUGUGGGAGAGGAAGAUGGAAUUCCUAGUGUAGCAGUGAAAUGCGUAGAGAUUAGGAGGAACAUCGGCGGCGAAGGCGAUCUUCUGGAACACAACUGACGCUAAGGCUCGAAAGCGUGGGGAGCAAACAGGAUUAGAUACCCUGGUAGUCCACGCCCUAAACUAUGGAUACUAGAUGUUGGGGGUAUCGACCCCCCCAGUGUCGCAGCUAACGCGUUAAGUAUCCCGCCUGAGUAGUACGUUCGCAAGAAUGAAACUCAAAGGAAUUGACGGGGACCCGCACAAGCAGAGGAGCAUGCGGUUUAAUUCGUCUCUACGCGAAAAACCUUACCAAGGCUUGACAUCGGAUGCAUAACAUGGAAACAUGUGAAAAGAUAGUAAUAUCUCAUCUAGACAGAUGGUGCAUGGUUGUCGUCAGCUCGUGUCGUGAGAUGUUGGGUUAAGUCCCGCAACGAGCGCAACCCUUGCUUUUAGUUGCCAUCAUUAAGUUGGGCACUCUAAAGGGACUGCCGUGGAUAACACGGAGGAAGGUGGGGAUGACGUCAAAUCAUCAUGCCUCUUACGCCUUGGGCUACACGCGUGCUACAAUGGCCACUACAAAGGGAUGCCAACCCGCGAGGGGGAGCGAACCUCAUAAAAGUGGUCUCAGUUCAGAUUGCAGUCUGCAACCCGACUGCAUGAAGUAGGAUUUGCUAGUAAUCGUGAAUCAGAAUGUCACGGUGAAUAAAUACUCGGGUCUUGCACUCACCGCCCGUCA